AAUCUACUCCCUCCGUCCGAAAAUACUUGUCCUCAAAAUGGUUGUGUCUAGACUUAAUUAUAGAUACAUUCAUUUUAUCCAUUUUGAGGACAAGUAUUUCCGGACGGAGGGAGUAGUAU
Molecule: non-coding RNA, 119 nt
Organism: Triticum aestivum (bread wheat)
Lineage: Eukaryota; Viridiplantae; Streptophyta; Magnoliopsida; Poales; Poaceae
Source: Rfam